This 395-nucleotide ribosomal RNA is filed under the name uncultured bacterium. RNAcentral describes it as "partial 16S ribosomal RNA". It matches the Rfam family "Bacterial small subunit ribosomal RNA", at positions 361 to 773 of the family's 1533-position model. The record is from RNAcentral.
AUAUUGCACAAUGGGCGAAAGCCUGAUGCAGCGACGCCGCGUGGAGGAUGAAGGCCUUCGGGUCGUAAACUCCUGCCCGGGGGGCUGAACACUGACAGUACGCCCGGAGGAAGCACCGGCUACCUACCUGCCCGCAGCCGCGGUAAUACGUAGGGGGCGAGCGUUGUCCGGAAUUACUGGGCGUAAAGCGCGCGCAGGCGGCUUGUUAAGUCAGGUGUCAAAAUGCGGGGCUCAACCCCGUAUCGCACUUGAAACUGGCAGGCUUGAGUGCAGGAGAGGGAAGUGGAAUUCCUAGUGUAGCGGUGAAAUGCGUAGAUAUUGGGGGGAACACCAGUGGCGAAGGCGACUACCUGGACGAAAACUGACGCUGAGGCACGAAAGCUAGGGGAGCAAAC